Oryza sativa Japonica Group (Japanese rice) is the source of this 851-nucleotide RNA transcript. It is a transcript of the gene named protein NUCLEAR FUSION DEFECTIVE 6, mitochondrial, with no coding region annotated. The record is from RefSeq and is a predicted model, not a curated record. NCBI's taxonomy places the organism in Eukaryota, Viridiplantae, Streptophyta, Magnoliopsida, Poales, Poaceae.
CCCAGGCCCAUCUAACCGUAGGGUUUUAGCGUCUCGCCCCCGUCCUCUGCCGGCGUAGCGCCACCGCACUGCGCACCCGCCCCGACGCAAUGGCCACCGCCGCCGCCGCGAGAUCGUUCCUUCGAUCGGGAGUCGCCUCCUCCUCGUCCAUCCGCGGCGCCGCCGCGAGAGCCGCAUCCCGAGCCGGGCCGGCUCCGCUCCCGAGGAGGCUGCCCGCCGCUGCUCCCCGUCUCAUCUUGAGGUCGCCGGUGGAGAUGAGCAGCGUCUGCUUGGAGACGCUGAUGCCCAUGCACAGCGCCACGGCGUCGGCGCUCAUGACGUCGCUCCUCGCUGCCCCUGCGUGCAGGAGCUUUGGCUGGCUCUCCGAAGCUGGCAAUGAUGACGUGUGACAAACUCUAGGUGGAAUGUAGCAGAUUAUAGUCCCGUCAACUCAAAUCUACAGGUCUGUGAUUAGUGACAAUGGAGGGUGUCUGAGAUGAAGACAUGCUAAUGGAUGAUUUGUUGUUAUCGGAGCCUGAUGUGACGAUAGCUGCUACGAGAUACCUCCUAUUCAAUUUAAAGUACUUUCCGUCGGCGUCUUCUGAGCGACAUGUUCAGUAUUCUGGGAUUUUGGUCUGUGUAAGCGUCUACAAGAUUGUUACCUGAUCGUUGCGACGCUUACCUCCGGUUGUCCAACUGAUUUUACUAUUGAUGGCCUACUACUGAUUAAGUCCCGCUGAGAAAAUAAUGCUGAGUUGGAAAUUUUCUAAUUCUACAUUGUUUUGCUUCUAUCUGCACUGUUACUGUAUUAUGUACAGCGACAGUUUCGUACCUUAUUACUACAGCAGUACAGUAUUAUCGUGUUGUAUUAA